ACACUACUCAGUUAUAAUGCUAUUGUUUAUUUACGAUUUCUGAAGAACUUGAAAGUACAUUAGUAUAUAGGACAAUUGUUUUAGUCCACUUUUUCUAAGGAUUCUGCAAAACCUUUCAUCUGUCAAUGUCCAUUACUGCUAUAAAAUUGGCUGGCUAGUACUUCCAAUUCCUCUAUACCUCCAUGGGCUAUAGGGUAAGUAAGUUAUGUUCUUUUUCUUGUGUUGAUUUUAAUGUUAGAGGUUUUAGUUAAGCAUAUGUGAUAACUUGAAUCACUUUAAAUUAACGUUAAGAAGCUACAUCUAGAGGGAAGAUUUUUUUUGAAGAAGCAUCUAGAGGGAAGAUUAAAUCAAAUAGUAGAUAAAGAUCUAAUUUGAAAGUGACUUAGUUGAAUUGGAAGAAAUGGUACACGUUGCAUUCUUGUGUACACAUUUUAGGUGACUUUGUUNNNNNNNNNNNNNNNNNNNNNNNNNUAGUAAUUGUCCUUUUUACCUCUUUUUUUUCCCUACAAUGUUGAACUGUGUGUUUGAUUUUGAUGAAGGGUGGUGGAAAGGUACAGUGGUCCUAUGAAAACUUCCUAAUUUUUCUUAUCAUUUAUCUUUUGUUUGGUUUGUGGUGUAUUAUAGGCAUGCUUAUGCAACAACUUUUAUUCUUUUGUUUAAAUGAGAAUAGGUUGCAGGUGACAGCAUAAACUUACUGAGGAUUCAAUUGAUGUACUUCAUGGGAUAUUUGGUUGGGUAGAGGAGUGGAGUUAAAGCCAUUACUUUAUUAUUUAUUAUUUUCCUCUGCAGGAGUAACUUGACUGAUUACCUUUGGUAUUUAAUUUAGAUUUGAAUCCCUUGAAUAGAGUUGAUGCAUGUAGAAGUUUAUUGGGUAGAUGAAAAAGGGAAAAGGAGUGUUGCGUGAACGUCAAAUGUUGAAACUCGCUCUGAAAGAUGAAAAAGGGCAAA
Molecule: long non-coding RNA, 948 nt
Filed under: Trifolium pratense (red clover)
Lineage: Eukaryota; Viridiplantae; Streptophyta; Magnoliopsida; Fabales; Fabaceae
Description: long non-coding RNA (TPRA_LNC008126)
Source: RNAcentral